RNAcentral lists this ribosomal RNA (495 nucleotides) under uncultured bacterium. RNAcentral describes it as "partial 16S ribosomal RNA". It matches the Rfam family "Bacterial small subunit ribosomal RNA", at positions 28 to 507 of the family's 1533-position model. The record is from RNAcentral.
GACGAACGCUGGCGGCGUGCCUAAUACAUGCAAGUAGAACGCUGAAGGAGGAGCUUGCUUCUCUGGAUGAGUUGCGAACGGGUGAGUAACGCGUAGGUAACCUGCCUGGUAGCGGGGGAUAACUAUUGGAAACGAUAGCUAAUACCGCAUAAGAGUAGAUGUUGCAUGACAUUUGCUUAAAAGGUGCAAUUGCAUCACUACCAGAUGGACCUGCGUUGUAUUAGCUAGUUGGUGGGGUAACGGCUUACCAAGGCGACGAUACAUAGCCGACCUGAGAGGGUGAUCGGCCACACUGGGACUGAGACACGGCCCAGACUCCUACGGGAGGCAGCAGUAGGGAAUCUUCGGCAAUGGACGGAAGUCUGACCGAGCAACGCCGCGUGAGUGAAGAAGGGUUUCGGAUCGUAAAGCUCGGUUGUAAGAGAAGAACGAGUGUGAGAGUGGAAAGUUCACACUGUGACGGUAUCUUACCAGAAAGGGACGGCUAACUACGUG